This is a long non-coding RNA of Lolium rigidum, 677 nucleotides long. RefSeq lists it as uncharacterized. The transcript is spliced from 5 exons. Lineage: Eukaryota; Viridiplantae; Streptophyta; Magnoliopsida; Poales; Poaceae. The record is from RefSeq and is a predicted model, not a curated record.
UCUGUGCACAGAUCGGGACCCAUAUGAGACAGCGGGGCGCGGUCUGCGUGAUGGUGCUGCCUCGUGAGAUCCAUGUACGGCGGUACUUCUUCUGGUGCGGGGAUGUGCAGUGGCUCGGAGACAGAUGCUGCAGGCGGCGAACAGAGGAGGGAAGCGUCGGUCACGGUCGGUGAGUAGAUGGUAUCCCUCUAUACUGAAGAAGAUUGGAUUUUGAUGUAUCCAAGCAAUACUCCUCGCAGGCCGGAAGAGGAGAUGCAGGAGAGCGCAUGAAGGUGGGUGGCAGCGCGGAGAGUGGUGGCGACGCGAGCGCCGCCUUGAGGAGCUCUUCCACAGACGGCGGGGCUUGAUGAGGAUGGGUGGCCGAAUCGGAGCAGACCGCCAUCUCCUUCCUCCUGCAUCUUCUCAGCUUCUAACACCGAUGGGGGAGAGAGGCCACCGCCUCUGCUGCACGGCUUCGAGCUCUGGCGUUGGCUGUGGAGAUCAACAGCGAGAAAGGAGGAGCAGAGCCGCCUCCAUCUUCUUUUUCCUUGCUCAUAGGAUGUCGAUGGUGAGGACGGCUUGACUUAAUUCGCCCGCCAAACUGAGGUGGACCUGCAAGCAUGAGCUGUUGCUGCUGAUUCGUACGUGAUGUACAUCCUAGGAUGAGACUGACUCUACAUAGACCUGCAAGAUAUAGU